AACGCAUAUUGCGCUCUCUGGUAUUCCGGAGAGCAUGCUUGUUUGAGUAUCAGUAAACACCUCAACUCCCCUUUCUUUUUUGAAAUGGGAGCUGGACUUGAGUGAUCCCAACGCUUUUCUCACCGAAAAGUGGCGGGUUACUUGAAAUGCAGGUGCAGCUGGACUUUUCUCUGAGCUAAAAGCAUAUCUAUUUAGUCUGCCUAAAAACAGAUUAUUACCUUUGCUGCAGCUAACAUAAAGGAGAUUGGUUCUUGUGCUGACUGAUGCAGGAUUCACAGAGACAGCUUCGGCUGGCUUUGUAAACUCGAUCUCAAAUCAAGUAAGACUACCCGCUGAACUUAA
This 342-nucleotide unclassified non-coding RNA is filed under the name uncultured Mortierella. RNAcentral describes it as "sequence contains ITS2". The stretch from base 1 to 52 matches the Rfam family "5.8S ribosomal RNA", at positions 103 to 154 of the family's 154-position model. The record is from RNAcentral. Lineage: Eukaryota; Fungi; Mortierellomycota; Mortierellomycetes; Mortierellales; Mortierellaceae.